This 6507-nucleotide long non-coding RNA is filed under the name Homo sapiens (human). RNAcentral describes it as "small nucleolar RNA host gene 14". The stretch from base 1 to 81 matches the Rfam family "Small nucleolar RNA SNORD115". Lineage: Eukaryota; Metazoa; Chordata; Mammalia; Primates; Hominidae. The record is from RNAcentral.
GGGUCGAUGAUGAGAACCUUAUAUUUUCUGAAGAGAGGUGAUGACUUAAAAAUCAUGCUCAAUAGGAUUACGCUGAGGCCCAACCUAGGGGAGAAUUUUGGAAGAGGACGCUGGGAUCCUGAGGUCCGUGGCAGGGCCACCGUAUUUUGGGCUGGAGACCUCAAGGCCCUGAAGGGCAUCUUGGCAGCCCCCAGCCCUGUCUCUGCACUCCUCCGUGAGGCAGCCCAGGCUCCCUGUGUGGGCUUGGUGUCAGAGUCCCAUUCCCCAGGGGCGGGGCAGGUUGGCGGCUCCUCCCUGAGUCCCCUUUCUCCCUUGUGUCUUUGAGUGACUUCUUCUGCCCAGGUGGGCCCCCUGGCGUUGACCAGCAUAGAUGGUGAGCCUGGAGGAAGACUUGCACUGGGCCUUCUGUGCGCCGGCCAGAGGCCAUCAACCAGGUGCCCAGGUCCUUUUGUACUGAAGCUUGGGCCCUUCCUGGCACCCUGGUCUCCUUCAUGGAGCUGAUGGUGAGCCUGAAGGAAGACUUGCAUCAGGACCAAUGGACCCUGGCAAGUGUCCGUCAGCCAGGUGCUCAGCCCCUGGUGCACUGAAGCUCAGGCCCUUCCUGGCCCCUUGAUCUCCUGCACUGAGCUGUGUGAGCUCUUCUGCCAAGGGGGGGCCUCCUGGCAUUGACCAACAUAGAUGGUGAGCCUGGAGGAAGAUUUGCAUUGGGCCCAAUGGCCCUGGGCCAGUGUCUGUCAGCCAGUUUCCCAGCCCCUGGUGCACUGAAGCUCAGGCCUUUCCUGGCAUCCUGGCCUCCUGCACUGAGCUGUGUGAGUGCUUCUGCCCAGGCAGGCCACUUGGCAUUGACCGGUAUAGAUGGUGAGCCUGGAGGAAGAUGUGUGGGACCCGCAGGCCGAGGGCCAGUGUCUCUCAGCCAGGUGCUCAGCCCCCAGUGGGCUGAAACUCUGACCCUUCCUGGCACCCUGCUCUCCUGCACUGUGCUGUGAUGGUGAGACUUCUGUUGGGCUUGCUUUUCCUGGGCCAGUGUCCAUCAGCCAGGUGCUCAGCCAUCGGUGCGCUGAAGCUCCAGCCCUUCCUGGUGCCCUGAUCUCCUGCACUGAGCUGUGAUGAUGAGCUCUUUCACCUAGGAGGGCCCCUUGGCAUUGACUGGCAUAGAUGGUGACCCUGAAGAAAGACUUCAGUUGGGCCUGAAGGCCCCGGGCCAGUGUCCAUCAUCCAGGUGCUCAGCUCCCAGUGCACUGAAGCUCAGACCCUUCCUGGUUCCCUGGUCUCUUGCACUGAGCUCUGAUGGUGAGACUUGAGGAAGACUUCCACUGGGCCUGCUUUUCCUGAGCCAGUGCCCAUCACCCAGGUGCUCAGUCCCUGGUGCACUGAAGCUCCAGCCCUUCCUGGCGCCCUGGUCUCCUGAACUGAGCUGUGUGAGCUCUUCUGCCAAGCGGUUCCCCUGGCAUUGACCAACAUAGAUGGUGAGCCUGGAGGAAGACUUGCGUUGGGCCCAAAGGCCCUAGACCAGUGUCUGUCAGCCAGGUUCCCAACCCCCGAUGCGCUGAAGCUCAAGCCUUUCCUGGCACCCUGGUCUCCUGCACUGAGCUGUGUGAGCUCUUCUGCCCAGGCGGGCCCCCUGGAAUUGAUGGGUAUAGAUGGUGACCCCGGAGGAAAAUUUGUGUUGGGCCCACUAUCCCUGGGCCAAUGUCAGUCAGCUAGGCACCCAGCCCCCAGUGCGCUGAAGCUCAGGACCUUCCUAGUGCCCUCGGCUCCUGCACUGAGCUCUGAUGGUAAGCCUGGAGGAAGACUUGUGUUGGGCCCACAGGCCCCAGGCCAAUGUCUGUCAGCCAGGUGCUCAGCCUCUGGUGCGCUGAAACUCUGACCCUUCCUGGCACACUGGUCUCCUGCACUGAGCUGGGAUUUUCCACCUAGGAGGUCCACCUGGCAUUGACUGACAUAGAUGGUGAGACUUCUGUCGGCCUCGCUUUUCCUGGGCCAGUGUCCAUCAGCCAGGUGCUCAGCCCCAGUGCACUGAAGCUCCAGCCCUUCCUGGCGCCCUGGACUGAGCUGUGUGAGCUCUUCUGCCAAGGGGGUCCUCCUGGCAUUGACCAACAUAGGUGGUGAGCCUGGAGGAAGACUUGCAUUGGGCCCAAUGGCCCUGGACCAGUGUCUGUCAGCCAGGUUCCCAGCCCCCGAUGCGCUGAAGCUCAAGCCUUUCCUGGCACCCUGGUCUCCUGCACUGAGCUGUGUGAGCUCUUCGGCCCAAGUGGUCCCCCCGGCCUUAAGCGGCAUAGAUGGUGAGCCUGGAGGAAGACUCGUGUUGGGCCCACAGGCCCCAGGCCAGUGUACGUCAGCCAGGUGCUCAGCCCAUGGUGUGCUGAAGCUCUGACCCUUCCUGACUCCGUGGUCUCCUGCACUGAGCUGUGAUGACCAUAUCCAGUGAGCUCUUCCAAACAGGUGGGCUCCCUAGCAUUGACCGACAGAGUGAGCUCUGCCACCCAGGACAUCCCCCUGGCAUUGACUGGCAUAGAUGCUGACCCUGGAGGAAGACUUGUGUCGGGCCCCCAGGCCCCAGGCCAGUGUCCAUCAGCCAGGUGCUCAGCUCCCAGUGCGCUGAAGCUCAGACCCUUCCUGGCACCCUGGUGUCCAGCACUGAGCUGUGUGAGCUUUUCCACCCAGGUGGGCCCCCUGGCAUUGACCGACAUAGUGGCAGGGAGAGCCAAGGGUGCCCCACAUUGGUGACGAGUCAGUAUUUUGCAUGGAUCUCAUCACACGUGACCAUGAAGGACGAGCAAGCAUGAGCUGGCACCAGCCACCCCCUUCUCCGCGUGGAGGGUGGUCACAUGUCCUCCACCUGUGCCCCCAGAUGAUGAGACUGGAGGAAGACUUCCAUUGGGCCCACUUUUCCUGGGCCAGUGUCCAUCAGCCAGGUGCUCAGCCCCUGGUGUACUGAAGCUCCAGCCUUUCCUGGUGCCCCAGUCUUCUGCACUAAGCUGUGUGAGCUCUUCCACCCAGGAGGGCCCCUUGGCAUUGACUGGCAUAGAUGGUGAGACGGGAGGAAGACUUGUGUUGGGCCUGCUGUUCCUGGGCCAGUGGCCAUCAGCCUGUUGCCCAGCCCCUGAGGCGCUGAAGCUCAGGCCCUUCCUCACACCCUGGUCUCCUGCACUAGCUGUGUGAGCUCUUCUGCCCAGGUGGGGCCCAUGGCCUUACACGACAUAGGAGCACGCAUUUCUUGAAGUCCUGCAAAGGUGAUGGUGGUCCAGACAGGAGAGGGUUCCUUCAGCCCAACAUAGCGCAGCUCCCAGCUGAAACUCGGAAGGCUGGUCAGGCCUCGAGGACUGCCCAGGCCACAUGAGGGUUUGGUGGCCGGGAGGGCCAAUGAUGCUCUGCGUCUGUGUUGGAUCAGUGUUCUUCAUGGAUUCCAUCACAUGGUGAGCCUUGAGGAAGACUUGUAUUGGGCCCCCACAGGCCCCAGGCCAGUGUCCGUCAGCCUGGUGCUCACCCCCAGUGUGCUGAAGCUCAGACCCUCCGUGGCACCCUGGUCUCCUGCACUGAGCUGUGUGAACUUUUCCUCCCAGAUGGGCCCCCUGGCAUUGACUGGCAUAGAUGGUGAGACCGGAGGAAGACUUGCAUUGGGCCUGUUGUUCCUGGGCCAGUGGCCAUCAGCCUGUUGCCCAGCCCCUGAUGCGCUGAAGCUCGGGCCCUUCCUCGCGCCCUGGUCUCCUGCACUGAGCUGUGUGAGCUCUUCUGCCCAGGUGAGGCCCAUGGCCUUAAGCGGCAUAGAUGGUGAGCCUGGAGGAAGACUUGUAUUGGGACCCUACAGGCCCCAGGCCAGUGUCUGUCAGCCUGGUGCUCAUCCCCCAGUGCGCUGAAGCUCAGACCCUCCCUGGCACCCUGGUCUCCUGCACUGAGCUGUGAUGGUGAGUCUGGAGGAAGACUUGUGUUGGACCCCCACAGGCCCCAGGCCAGUGUCCAUCAGCCUGGUGCUAAUCCCCCAGUGCUCUGGAGUUUGGACCCUCCCUGGCACCCUGGUCUCCUGCACUGAGCUGUGUGAGCUCUUCCACCCGGGCGGGCCCCCGGCAUUGACUGGCAUAGGUGGUGAGCCCGGAGGAGGACUUGCGUUCGGCCCGCUGGUCCCAGUGUGUCCGGAAUUGGUGGGUUCUUGGUCUCACUGACUUCAAGAAUGAAGCUGCGGACCCUCGCUAUGAUGAUAUGGAAGAAAAGCACUCUUUGGCCUGUUGUGACUGGGACAGUUGACAGCACCCAGGUGUCCUUUAAUGAAAAUGCUCUUGACACCAAUGCAUCCUAGCAUCACAGCUUCAGGAAGCCUUCUCAAGUGUGCAUGGGGAGUACUAUGUCUUUCAUCAAUAAUGAAAUCUUCUGAUUUGUAAGACAUGCUGCCAAGAGAUGUGCCAUUCUAUUAUAAAAGAUCAGUAGCUUCCUUUACCGACGUGUAUAUUCUAUCUAGAACAUUGAGCUAUGGAAGACUCCCACCUAAGGGAAUUAGUUUUACACCUUCAGAUAAAGACUGCUGAGAAGAGCACCCUCUGGUGUUGUCACAGAGGCAAGUGCUACCGCACAGGCAUGCUGCAGUGAAUUUAACUGAUCCUCUGUCCCUGCAACCGUUGUUUAAGGAUGCUAUUCUGAAAAGACUGUGGAGGAAGAAAACCCUUUACCCUGUUGUUCAGGGAGAAACUGACACCACUCAACUGCCUGGCACUGAAAAUGUGGCAUCCAGUCCACUUUACCAUCAGUGUUUAAGGAAACCAUCUCUGAUAAGGAUGACUGAGGAAGAGUACUCUUUGGCUUGUUGACACCAGCACAGCUGACACACCCAGAUAUCUGUUUGGUCUCCUGUGAACUUUCAACCAGGAUUUAAGGAUGCCACUCUGGUUAAAAGCUGAAACAACUUCAAGGAAACUUCAGGGAAAAGAGAAGGCCUGGAAUCUGAUCCUCCACUUCAGAGAACAGGGGUGGUGGAGUCUAUGGCCCUUCUCCUUGAAUCUGAGUGAAAUUAGUGAGUCUUUCAAUCCAAAGACUACAGUCAUACCUCAACUAUCUACAGAGGACUGGUUCCAGGACUCCCAUGGAUCCCAAAAUCCAAGGAUGCUUCGAAUCCCUUAUAUAAAAUGGCAUGGUAUUUGCAUAUAACCUACAUGCAUCUUCAAAUAUGUUAAACCAUCUCUAGAUUACUUAUAAUACCAAAUACAAUGUAAUGCUAUGUAAACAGUUGUUACAAUGUAUUGUCAAAGACAAGCUCUCCUUGCCAAUCCCUGACCAAAUGAGAGAUUCAUGAGCAAAAUAAAUAGUUGCUGAUAUUUAAGGCACUAAGUUUGGGGCAAUGUAUUACACAGCAAUAAAUAACUGGAACAGCAUAGUAAAUUCUAGUUAAAAAUACUAAACUACUAAGUUUUAGUUAACAUACAUGCUCAAGUUAAGGGUGUGGUAUACUAACAACUGCAACUUACUUUGAAAAGCAUAAAAAAAGACACUAGAAGAAGACAGGAUGGAUAGAUGGACAAGAUAGAAGACAAUAACAAAUAGAACAAAAUGUUGUGAAAUUAUAUUCUACAAUUAUUUUAAAGUCUGUGUGGUUUGAAAAAUUGUACGAUAAAAUGAAGAGUGAAAUAAAGACAUUUCCAUACAAACAAAAGCUGAAAGAUUUUGUAGCCAGUAGACCUAUACUUUAGAAAUGUUUAAGAAAUUUUUUCAAGUAAAAGGAAAAUAACACCAGCAACAAACUUGGAUCUACAAAAAGGAAUCUCCACAAAGAAAAAUAAAUAAAAAUGGUAAAUAUGAAGGUAAAUAUAAAGGAAUGUUAUUCUUAGUUUUUAAGUUUCUUCGUAAGACAACUGGCCUUUGAAAGAAAUAGUUUCAAACGCUGCUGUGGAAUCUAUAACACAUAUAGAAGUAAAAUGUUAAGAUCAUAAUACCAAAAAGAAUGAGGGAGAGUAAAUGGAUGUAUACUAUUCCAAAAUUCUUACAUUAUACAUUAAGAGGAAUAAUAUUUUUGAAGGUAGAUUGAGGUAAGUUAAAGGUGCAUAUUGUAAAUCCUAGAAGUAUCACUGGGGGGAAAAAAAACAGAGGGACAAGCUAAUAAUGGAGACAAUACAAAAUUCCAAAAAUGCUCCAUUAACCGAAAAGAAGGCAGAAAAGGAAGAAAAGAUUAGACAAAUAGAAAACAAAUAGUGUCUUAAACACAAUUAUAUUGCCAACUGCAAUAAAUGUAAAUGGACUUAAUCAAAAAGCAACGAUCGUAAAAAGUCAAUCUGAAAGCAAGAUGCAACUAUAUGCUAUCUAAAAGAAAGACAUUAAAUGACCAAUAAGCUGAAAAUAAAAACACAGCAAAAUGAUAUAAUGUGCAAAAAUUAAUCAUAAGAAAGGAAUGGAUACACUAAUAUCAAAGUAGACUUUAGAUAAGGAACAUUACCAGCGAUAAACAGAGACAUUUCAUAAUGAUAAAGACAUCAAUUAAUCAAGGAGAUCUAACAGUCCUAAAUGUGAACACACCUAAGGACACAA